CCUCACAGGCUUUAUAUUGUGUUUUGCGGGAAAUGCUUCAUAAUAAUGUUCUACGUUUAUGACUGCAACUGGCACGUGUGGAGACCAGUAUUCAUUUGUGGAGUAUGGAAAGGACCUUAUACUUACACAUAUGAAUAUAAUGGUACAAAUCAAAUUGAAUUUAUUCAUGUUUCCGAAAAAGCUCUGGUAGCAAUCAAUGUCAACUUGGAUGAAACAAGCAAGAAGAUGCAACAGAUUCUACUAUUCGGCAAAGAAAAUGAAGUUGAUGAGGAAUACUUAGAGAUAUUCAAGAAGGAGGCUCUAAGUCGGAAGAUUUCAGAAGAAAACAUUAAGGAUUUAACCGAACCUGAUAAAUGUCUUGCUGUGGCAUGAAAAUAACUUCGAAACACCCUAAUUAGAGAGUCACUGAGACCAGACACAUCCUCUUCCCCAUGGAAUCAAGAGCAACAACAUGAAGAUGACUUUCCUGGUUCCUGAUUAUCAUGAUCCUUCUCUCUUCACACUCACACUCCUUUCCCAUCUCAUCUCUCCUGGCACUAAUCCCAUGCUUUGUGGUGGUAUUUGAUUUCUGCAGGUUUAAAUAAAUUGGUUGAAU
Long non-coding RNA from Bos indicus x Bos taurus (hybrid cattle), 595 nucleotides. The record is from Ensembl. NCBI's taxonomy places the organism in Eukaryota, Metazoa, Chordata, Mammalia, Artiodactyla, Bovidae.